Molecule: ribosomal RNA, 408 nt
Filed under: uncultured bacterium
Lineage: Bacteria
Description: bacterial SSU rRNA
Rfam family: Bacterial small subunit ribosomal RNA
Source: RNAcentral
CAGGGAAUCUUGCGCAAUGGGCUGUAUAAGCCUGACGCAGCGACACCGCGUGGAGGAAGACGGCUUUCGAGUUGUAAACUCCUUUUCUCAAGGAAGAGAGAGGACGGUACUUGAGGAAUAAGCUUCGGCUAACUACGUGCCAGCAGCCGCGGUAAUACGUAGGAAGCGAGCGUUGUCCGGAUUUACUGGGCGUAAAGGGCAAGCAGGUGGUCGAUUAUGUCCUAUGUGAAAUCUCCGUGCUCAACGCGGAGCGGUCAUAGGAAACUGGUCGACUAGAGGCCAGCAGAGGGAAGCAGAAUUUCCGGUGUAGCGGUGAAAUGCGUAGAUACCGGGAGGAAUACCAGAGGCGAAGGCGGCUUCCUAGGCUGGAUCUGACACUGAUAUGCGAAAGCAUGGGUAGCGAACCGG